AGUCUGCAACUCGACUACAUGAAGCUGGAAUCGCUAGUAAUCGCGAAUCAGAAUGUCGCGGUGAAUACGUUCCCGGGUCUUGUACACACCGCCCGUCACACCAUGGGAGUCAGUAACGCCCGAAGCCGGUGACCCAACCAAACGGAGGGAGCCGUCGAAGGUGGGACCGAUAACUGGGGUGAAGUCGUAACAAGGUAGC
This 199-nucleotide ribosomal RNA is filed under the name uncultured bacterium. Its description in RNAcentral is "partial 16S ribosomal RNA". It matches the Rfam family "Bacterial small subunit ribosomal RNA", at positions 1302 to 1500 of the family's 1533-position model. The record is from RNAcentral.